AUUAUUUUAAUAUUUGGUCCUUUCGUACUAAAAUAUUAUAAUUUUUUAAAGAUAGAAACCAACCUGGCUUACGCCGGUUUGAACUCAGAUCAUGUAAGAAUUUAAAAGUCGAACAGACUUAAAAUUUGAACGGCUACACCCAAAAUUAUAUCUUAAUCCAACAUCGAGGUCGCAAUCUUUUUUAUCGAUAUGAACUCUCCAAAAAAAUUACGCUGUUAUCCCUAAAGUAACUUAAAUUUUUAAUCAUUACUAAUGGAUCAAUUAUUCAUACAUUAAUGAUUUUAAAAAUUAAAAGUUUUUUAAAUUUUAAUAUCACCCCAAUAAAAUAUUUUUAAAUAUUAUAAUAAAAUAUAUCUUUACAAUUAAAAUAUUCAAAAUAUAAAGAUUUAUAGGGUCUUCUCGUCUUUUAAAAAAAUUUUAGCUUUUUGACUAAAAAAUAAAAUUCUAUAAAAAAUUUAAAUGAAACAGUUAAUAUUUCGCCAACCAUUCAUUU
This 493-nucleotide ribosomal RNA is filed under the name Drosophila camargoi. Its description in RNAcentral is "partial 16S ribosomal RNA". Lineage: Eukaryota; Metazoa; Arthropoda; Insecta; Diptera; Drosophilidae. The record is from RNAcentral.